RNAcentral lists this ribosomal RNA (253 nucleotides) under uncultured bacterium. RNAcentral's name for it is "partial 16S ribosomal RNA". It matches the Rfam family "Bacterial small subunit ribosomal RNA", at positions 524 to 776 of the family's 1533-position model. The record is from RNAcentral.
UACGGAGGGUGCAAGCGUUGUUCGGAAUUACUGGGCGUAAAGCGCGUGUAGGCGGUCGCUUAAGUCUGAUGUGAAAUCCCGGAGCUCACCUCCGGAAGUGCAUUGGAAACUGAGCGACUAGAGUGCCGGAGAGGAGGGUGGAAUUCCUGGUGUAGCGGUGAAAUGCGUAGAUAUCAGGAGGAACACCGGUGGCGAAGGCGGCCCUCUGGACGGAUACUGACGCUGAGACGCGAAAGCGUGGGGAGCAAACAGG